GUGGGGUAAUGGCCUACCAAGGCGACGACGGGUAGCCGGCCUGAGAGGGUGACCGGCCACACUGGGACUGAGACACGGCCCAGACUCCUACGGGAGGCAGCAGUGGGGAAUAUUGCACAAUGGGCGGAAGCCUGAUGCAGCGACGCCGCGUGAGGGAUGACGGCCUUCGGGUUGUAAACCUCUUUCAGUAGGGAAGAAGCGUAAGUGACGGUACCUGCAGAAGAAGCGCCGGCUAACUACGUGCCAGCAGCCGCGGUAAUACGUAGGGCGCAAGCGUUAUCCGGAAUUAUUGGGCGUAAAGAGCUCGUAGGCGGUUUGUCGCGUCUGCCGUGAAAGUCCGGGGCUCAACUCCGGAUCUGCGGUGGGUACGGGCAGACUAGAGUGAUGUAGGGGAGACUGGAAUUCCUGGUGUAGCGGUGAAAUGCGCAGAUAUCAGGAGGAACACCGAUGGCGAAGGCAGGUCUCUGGGCAUUAACUGACGCUGAGGAGCGAAAGCAUGGGGAGCGAACAGGAUUAGAUACCCUGGUAGUCCAUGCCGUAAACGUUGGGCACUAGGUGUGGGGGAAUUCCACGUUUCCGCGCCGAGCUAAGCAUAAGUGCCCGCCUGGGAGACGGCGCAAGCUAAACUCAAGGAUUGACGGGGCCGCACAGCGGGGAGAUGCGGAUAAUUCGAUGAACGCAAGAACUUACAAGGUUGAAUGACCGGAACGCUGGAACAGUGCCCACUUGUGGCGG
Molecule: ribosomal RNA, 735 nt
Filed under: Pseudarthrobacter equi
Lineage: Bacteria; Bacillati; Actinomycetota; Actinomycetes; Micrococcales; Micrococcaceae
Description: bacterial SSU rRNA
Rfam family: Bacterial small subunit ribosomal RNA
Source: RNAcentral